RNAcentral lists this ribosomal RNA (587 nucleotides) under uncultured Methylophilaceae bacterium. RNAcentral describes it as "bacterial SSU rRNA". It matches the Rfam family "Bacterial small subunit ribosomal RNA", at positions 338 to 916 of the family's 1533-position model. Lineage: Bacteria; Pseudomonadati; Pseudomonadota; Betaproteobacteria; Nitrosomonadales; Methylophilaceae. The record is from RNAcentral.
CCUACGGGAGGCAGCAGUGGGGAAUUUUGGACAAUGGGGGAAACCCUGAUCCAGCCAUUCCGCGUGAGUGAAGAAGGCCUUCGGGUUGUAAAGCUCUUUCGUGAGGGAAGAAAUUUUAUUGUCGAAUAAACAGUAAAGAUGACGGUACCUUAAGAAGAAGCACCGGCUAACUACGUGCCAGCAGCCGCGGUAAUACGUAGGGUGCGAGCGUUAAUCGGAAUUACUGGGCGUAAAGCGUGCGCAGGCGGUCUUAUAAGUCAGAUGUGAAAUCCCCGAGCUCAACUUGGGAACUGCGUUUGAAACUGUAAGACUAGAGUGUGUCAGAGGGAGGUAGAAUUCCACGUGUAGCAGUGAAAUGCGUAGAGAUGUGGAGGAAUACCAAUGGCGAAGGCAGCCUCCUGGGAUAACACUGACGCUCAUGCACGAAAGCGUGGGGAGCAAACAGGAUUAGAUACCCUGGUAGUCCACGCCCUAAACGAUGUCUACUAGUUGUUGGUGGAGUAAAAUCCAUGAGUAACGCAGCUAACGCGUGAAGUAGACCGCCUGGGGAGUACGGUCGCAAGAUUAAAACUCAAAGGAAUUGACGG